The sequence is a ribosomal RNA, 405 nucleotides long. It matches the Rfam family "Bacterial small subunit ribosomal RNA", at positions 355 to 774 of the family's 1533-position model.
UGGGGAAUAUUAGUCAAUGGGGGAAACCCUGAACUAGCAACGCCGCGUGAAGGAUGAAGGCUUUCGGGUUGUAAACUUCUUUUAUCUGGGAAGAAAAAAAUGACGGUACCAGAUGAAUAAGCCACGGCUAACUACGUGCCAGCAGCCGCGGUAAUACGUAGGUGGCGAGCGUUGUCCGGAAUUACUGGGUGUAAAGGGCGCGUAGGCGGGACUAUAAGUCUGAUGUGAAAUAUCCGGGCUCAACCCGGGGGGUGCAUUGGAUACUGUGGUUCUUGAGUGAUGGAGAGGCAGGCGGAAUUCCCGGUGUAGCGGUGGAAUGCGUAGAUAUCGGGAGGAACACCAGUGGCGAAGGCGGCCUGCUGGACAUUAACUGACGCUGAGGCGCGAAAGCGUGGGGAGCAAACA